RNAcentral lists this unclassified non-coding RNA (379 nucleotides) under Hevea brasiliensis (rubber tree). Lineage: Eukaryota; Viridiplantae; Streptophyta; Magnoliopsida; Malpighiales; Euphorbiaceae. The record is from RNAcentral.
GUUGACUUCUUCAGCGGAGCCAUAGGUGACAAAACCAAAACCCCUCGACCUGCCGCUCUCCCUGUCGUAGAUGACCUUGGCAUCGAGCACGGUUCCCUGCUCACUGAACAGGUUCUCGAGUGUCGAGUUGUCGACACCCCAAGCAAGGUUCCCUACAUAGAGCUUGUUGGAUGAAUCAAAGUUGCUCCCACCACCCCUAGGUGAUCUUGGCGCGAAAUCAUCCCGAGGCGGAGGCGGCCCUGAGUUUACCCUCAGAGGUCUUCCUUGGAAUGUGUAUCCAUUGAAUUGUUCGACGGCAGCACCAGCUUCUUCAGCUGUAGACAUUGUGACGAAUCCAAAGCCACGGCUUCUUCCGGUCUGUCUGUCAUAUACAACCUCG